GGACUGUAGGCUGCAACUCGCCUACACGAAGCUGGAAUCGCUAGUAAUCGCGGAUCAGCACGCCGCGGUGAAUACGUUCCCGGGCCUUGUACACACCGCCCGUCACACCAUGAGAGUCUGUAACACCCAAAGCCGGUGGGAUAACCUUUAUAGGAGUCAGCCGUCUAAGGUAGGACAGAUGAUUAGGGGUGAAGUCGUAACAAGGUAUC
RNAcentral lists this ribosomal RNA (209 nucleotides) under uncultured bacterium. Its description in RNAcentral is "partial 16S ribosomal RNA". It matches the Rfam family "Bacterial small subunit ribosomal RNA", at positions 1295 to 1500 of the family's 1533-position model. The record is from RNAcentral.